AGUCUGGUGCCAGCAGCCGCGGUAAUUCCAGCUUCAGUAGCGUAUAUUAAAGUUGUUGCAGUUAAAAAGCUCGUAGUCGCAUUUCUGGCGAGAGGAUCCGGUCCGACCUUUUGGUGGGUUCUUGGGUCUCUUUCGCCAUCCUUGAGUGGUCCGUUCUGGCAUUAGGUUGUCGGAGCGUCAGCCGCUCAUCGUUUACUGUGAGAAAAUUAGAGUGUUCAAAGCAGGCUUAUGCCGUUGAAUAUAUUAGCAUGGAAUAAUAAGAUAGGACCUCGGUACUAUUUUGUUGGUUUGCGCACCAAGGUAAUGAUGAACAGGGACAGUUGGGGGUAUUUGUAUUUCGUUGUCAGAGGUGAAAUUCUUAGAUUUACGAAAGACAAACUACUGCGAAAGCAUUUACCAAGGAUGUUUUCAUUGAUCAAGAACGAAAGUAUGGGGAUCGAAGAUGAUUAGAUACCAUCGUAGUCUAUACCAUAAACUAUGCCGACUCAGGAUGGGCGGGUGUUAUUUUGACCUCGUCUGCACUGUAUGAGAAAUCAAAGUCUUUGGGUUCCGGGGGGAGUAUGGUCGCAAGGCUGAAACUUAAAGAAAUUGACGGAAGGGCACCACCAGGAGUGGAACCUGCGGCUUAAUUUGACCCAACACGGGAAAACUUAUCAGGUCCUGACAUAGUGAGGAUUGACAGAUUGAGAGCUCUUUCUUGAUUCUAUGGGUGGUGGUGCAUGGCCGUUCUUAGUUGGUGGAGUGAUUUGUCUGGUUAAUUCCGUUAACGAACGAGACCGCAGCCUGCUAAAUAAUCACAGUAAUGAUUUUUCAUUGCUGAUGGUCUCUUAGAGGGACAUGUAGUAUAAAACUACAGGAAGAUUGCGGCAAUAACAGGUCUGUGGUGCCCUUAGAUGUUCUGAACCGCACGCGUGUUACACUGAUGUAUUCAACGAGCAUAUAACCUUAGCCGAGAGGCUUGGGCAAUCUUGUUAACCUACAUCGUGAUAGGGAUAGAUUAUUGCAAUUAUUAAUCUUGAACGAGGAAUUCCUAGUAAACGCACAUCAUCAAUGUGCAUUGAUUACGUCCCUGCCCUUUGUACACACCGCCCGUCGCACCUACCGAUUGAGUGGUCCGGUGAAUUCUCGGGAUUGUGGUUGAUUUCUUUUAUUAGGAUUCGACUGCGAGAACUUGUGUAAACCUUAUCACUU
This 1191-nucleotide ribosomal RNA is filed under the name metagenome. Its description in RNAcentral is "SSU rRNA". It matches the Rfam family "Eukaryotic small subunit ribosomal RNA", at positions 558 to 1774 of the family's 1831-position model. The record is from RNAcentral.